This 497-nucleotide ribosomal RNA is filed under the name uncultured bacterium. RNAcentral describes it as "partial 16S ribosomal RNA". It matches the Rfam family "Bacterial small subunit ribosomal RNA", at positions 28 to 507 of the family's 1533-position model. The record is from RNAcentral.
GAUGAACGCUGGCGGCGUGCCUAAUACAUGCAAGUCGAGCGAACGGACGAGAAGCUUGCUUCUCUGAUGUUAGCGGCGGACGGGUGUGUAACACGUGGAUAACCUACCUAUAAGACUGGGAUAACUUCGGGAAACCGGAGCUAAUACCGGAUAAUAUUUUGAACCGCAUGGUUCAAAAGUAAAAGACGGUCUUGCUGUCACUUAUAGAUGGAUCCGCGCUGCAUUAGCUAGUUGGUAAGGUAACGGCUUACCAAGGCAACGAUGCAUAGCCGACCUGAGAGGGUGAUCGGCCACACUGGAACUGAGACACGGUCCAGACUCCUACGGGAGGCAGCAGUAGGGAAUCUUCCGCAAUGGGCGAAAGCCUGACGGAGCAACGCCGCGUGAGUGAUGAAGGUCUUCGGAUCGUAAAACUCUGUUAUUAGGGAAGAACAUAUGUGUAAGUAACUGUGCACAUCUUGACGGUACCUAAUCAGAAAGCCACGGCUAACUACGUG